ACGAACGCUGGCGGCAUGCCUAACACAUGCAAGUCGAACGAGACCUUCGGGUCUAGUGGCGCACGGGUGCGUAACGCGUGGGAACCUGCCCUUAGGUUCGGAAUAACUCCCCGAAAGGGGUUCUAAUACCGGAUAAUGUCUUCGGACCAAAGAUUUAUCGCCUUUGGAUGGGCCCGCGUUGGAUUAGCUAGUUGGUAGGGUAAAAGCCUACCAAGGCGACGAUCCAUAGCUGGUCUGAGAGGAUGAUCAGCCACACUGGGACUGAGACACGGCCCAGACUCCUACGGGAGGCAGCAGUGGGGAAUAUUGGACAAUGGGCGAAAGCCUGAUCCAGCAAUGCCGCGUGAGUGAUGAAGGCCUUAGGGUUGUAAAGCUCUUUUACCCGGGAUGAUAAUGACAGUACCGGGAGAAUAAGCUCCGGCUAACUCCGUG
This 432-nucleotide ribosomal RNA is filed under the name uncultured bacterium. RNAcentral's name for it is "partial 16S ribosomal RNA". It matches the Rfam family "Bacterial small subunit ribosomal RNA", at positions 29 to 507 of the family's 1533-position model. The record is from RNAcentral.